CAGUAGCCGCGGUAAUACGAAGGGUGCAAGCGUUAAUCGGAAUUACUGGGCGUAAAGCGUGCGUAGGCGGUUUGUUAAGUCUGCUGUGAAAUCCCCGGGCUCAACCUGGGAAUGGCAGUGGAUACUGGCAAGCUAGAGUGUGUCAGAGGAUGGUGGAAUUCCCGGUGUAGCGGUGAAAUGCGUAGAGAUCGGGAGGAACAUCAGUGGCGAAGGCGGCCAUCUGGGACAACACUGACGCUGAGGCACGAAAGCGUGGGGAGCAAACAGGAUUAGAGACCCGAGUAGUCCCUGUCUCUUAUAC
RNAcentral lists this ribosomal RNA (301 nucleotides) under uncultured bacterium. RNAcentral's name for it is "partial 16S ribosomal RNA". It matches the Rfam family "Bacterial small subunit ribosomal RNA", at positions 509 to 807 of the family's 1533-position model. The record is from RNAcentral.